Molecule: long non-coding RNA, 1216 nt
Filed under: Setaria viridis
Lineage: Eukaryota; Viridiplantae; Streptophyta; Magnoliopsida; Poales; Poaceae
Description: long non-coding RNA (SVIR_LNC009056)
Source: RNAcentral
CCAGAUCCAUUGAUGCAGAUUUGAAAGGGAUUCUAUUAGUCUCCAAGUUAAUUAGAUCUGUUGGAUCGGGAUCUCCCAUGGGGCCUAAGGUGAUGUAUCCAGAGGUAUCAGCUAUGGGGAUGGUGAUUCUGUCUCUAAGGGCCUGGGAAAUGCGAAAAUGGCUGAGUAAGGAAAGGAAAGUAAAAGCACGGGGAGAAUGAUGGAGGCAAAGAGGUGUACCUCGGGGACGGCAAUAAGAGUGGCCAUGGAAUUAGUUUGGGAUUUGAAGUGGUUAUCAAGUAAAUCACCAAUGGUCAUUGGAGAUCUCUGACGGUCGCCGGAAAUCAUCAAGGGUCGCCUUUCGCCCGAGAGAAAGAGGAAGCAAGGUAUGGUGGUGCGAGAAGAUGAACUGGUGGGGAAGAAGAAGAUGACGGCUGUAAAUUUAUAAACUCACCCGAGAGGGUAAAUGCGGUAUCUCUUCAGCCGCGUGCGCGAAACUCAAAGAGUUUUUACCCCCAGACGCUUUUUUUGGCAAUCAUGACUGAGGAGAUUUCGGAACAGAAAAUAUUUUGUUACUCAGUGAUUGGUAAAUAUUGGUGUUUUCCUAGGGAAGGUAAUCAUGGCUGAGAUAAUUUUGGAGCAAAAGAUGAGUUUCACUCCGAAAUUGGGGGCAUGUGUUGACACCAUUUUUUGACAUACGCCAAGGAUGGUGUCAAAAGGAAGCAGAGAUGCCAGCGCAUAGUGGAAAGACAACGGCUAGUGGAAUCUACCGGUGAGGUUGCAGAGGGUUUAGCCGAUGAAGUUAUGGGAGAUCGGCCGAUAGAGUAAGGUAGAAGCCUAGCCGAUGGGAUCACAGGGGUAUAGCCGAUGGGAGAUGAUGGAGGCGUAGUCGAUGGAGUCAGCCGAUGCAAGCGAGAAGGGUUCUAGCCGAUUGGAAAUGUUGGAGGUUCGGCCGACGAGAAGCAAGUUUGGGUCGGUAGAGGCCAAGCUCGUUUCCGACUCCUGCACGAGUCGUUUUUAUUUAGAAAGUUUGUUUGUUUAGAGAUAGAUUUUAUGAUUUGUCGUAACCGAUUAGGAUUAGAGAUCUUGAUGUAUAGGGUAUAAAUAGGGGCCUUGUAAGGUCUGGAGAUACACACAUCAUAAUCAAUACAAAUCUACUAUUUUCGCAAUUUACUUUCAAGUCGGUGACUUUGCCGUCGUUUUCUUUUCUUCAUGAGUUCUUCCAAGCUAGAUGGGC